Molecule: ribosomal RNA, 497 nt
Filed under: uncultured bacterium
Lineage: Bacteria
Description: partial 16S ribosomal RNA
Rfam family: Bacterial small subunit ribosomal RNA
Source: RNAcentral
GAUGAACGCUGGCGGCGUGCCUAAUACAUGCAAGUCGAGCGAACAGACGAGGAGCUUGCUCCUCUGACGUUAGCGGCGGACGGGUGAGUAACACGUGGAUAACCUACCUAUAAGACUGGGAUAACUUCGGGAAACCGGAGCUAAUACCGGAUAAUCUAUUGAACCGCAUGGUUCAAUAGUGAAAGACGGUUUUGCUGUCACUUAUAGAUGCAUCCGCGCCGUAUUAGAUAGUUGGUAAGGUAACGGCCUACCAAGGCAAGGAUGCGUAGACGACGGGAGGGAGGGAUAGGCGACCUGGGAACGGAGACAGGGUCAAUACGCCUACGGGACGGAGCAGUAGGGAACGGGCCGCAAUGGGCGAAAGCAUGACGGAGCAACGCCGCGUGAGUGAUGAAGGUCUCCGGAGCGGAAAACUGUGCUACGAGUGAAGAACAAAUGUGGAAGUAACCAUGCACGUCGUGACGGUAACUAAUCAGAAAGCCACGGCUAACUACGUG